GAUAUGGACUCUCCAGAAAAAUUACGCUGUUAUCCCUAAGGUAAGUUAAUCUUAUAAUCAAAAAUUCUGGAUCAAAAAAACAUAAAUUAAUGAAAAAAUUAUUAAAAGUUAAAUAAAUUUUAAUGUCACCCCAACAGAACUUUAUAUUCUAAAAAAUUAUUUAAUUAACAAAAAACAAAAUUUAAUAAAUAAAGUCAACUUCUAUAGGGUCUUCUCGUCCUAUAAAAAAAUCUUAGCUUUUUAACUAAGAAAUUAAAUUCAAUAUAAUUAAAAAAAGAAAGCUUAUUUUUCAUCAAACCAUUCAUUCUAGCCUUCAAUUAAAAGACAAAUGAUUAUGCUACCUUCGUACAGUUAAAAUACCGCAGCCUUUUAAUUCUUAAAAAUCAAUGGGCAGGCCUGAUCUUAAAUUAAAAUCAAAAGACC
This 423-nucleotide ribosomal RNA is filed under the name Aquarius chilensis. RNAcentral describes it as "partial 16S ribosomal RNA". The record is from RNAcentral. Lineage: Eukaryota; Metazoa; Arthropoda; Insecta; Hemiptera; Gerridae.